Long non-coding RNA from Rhineura floridana, 704 nucleotides. RefSeq lists it as uncharacterized. The record is from RefSeq and is a predicted model, not a curated record. The transcript has 3 exons. Lineage: Eukaryota; Metazoa; Chordata; Lepidosauria; Squamata; Rhineuridae.
GUGGUUAAAAUGGAAGCAGCACAUAACCUCCUUCUGUUGCAGACACCCAUCUGUGGGCAGCUUUCUCUAGCCGGAAGGUGGAUGUGGUAGGUAAUAAUAAAGUGAAUAAGUGGUCAAAACUGAUCGGCUGCUAUGGCUAGUCUGACAGUUUUCCUCUGCAGAUGGGCCUAGAUUGUGCUGAGAACACAUGGUGAAGUGCCCCCAGAUUGGACCACCAUGGAAACACUGAGCUUUCCCUAAGAAGAACAAAGGAAGACAGAACAAUCCCUGAAAGAACUGAAGACUGUGUUUAGACUGCCUGUCGGAUUUACUUCGUGAUGUGAGGGAUUCGGAUAUCAAAGUUAUGUGUGUAGUGCAAAUCACUAAACAGACAGUAUGAGACUUGUAACAUGGCCUAUGACAAAAGAUAGCAAAUACGUUAACUAUAUAAUGCAUAUCCUGGAGAAUUUACAGUCCAGUGGCAACAAUUAAGGCAGUACAGUAAGCAAAGGGUUUCAUGUGGUUUUUGUGGUUAGAGCCAUUGAUGAAGCAGGUGUGUUUUUAGAAGUCCUUUGAGGGGAAAGGGUAGAGUUUUAGAAGACUGACAAGUACAUCCUCAGAGGCUGCUGUAUAUUCUUAGAUGUCAAUGUUAGGAAGUCAGUCGAGCGCAGUGAUGGAAAGGAGGGUGCAUGUGCACAAGAAACUGAGAUGCAAUGAACAGAAAA